RNAcentral lists this ribosomal RNA (497 nucleotides) under uncultured bacterium. Its description in RNAcentral is "partial 16S ribosomal RNA". It matches the Rfam family "Bacterial small subunit ribosomal RNA", at positions 28 to 507 of the family's 1533-position model. The record is from RNAcentral.
GACGAACGCUGGCGGCGUGCCUAAUACAUGCAAGUUGAGCGCUGAAGGUUGGUACUUGUACCAACUGGAUGAGCAGCGAACGGGUGAGUAACGCGUGGGGAAUCUGCCUUUGAGCGGGGGACAACAUUUGGAAACGAAUGCUAAUACCGCAUAAAAACUUUAAACACAAGUUUUAAGUUUGAAAGAUGCAAUUGCAUCACUCAAAGAUGAUCCCGCGUUGUAUUAGCUAGUUGGUGAGGUAAAGGCUCACCAAGGCGAUGAUACAUAGCCGACCUGAGAGGGUGAUCGGCCACAGUGGGACUGAGACACGGCCCAAACUCCUACGGGAGGAAGCAGCAGGGAAUCUUCGGCAAUGGACGAAAGUCUGACCGAGCAACGCCGCGUGAGUGAAGAAGGUUUUCGGAUCGUAAAACUCUGUUGGUAGAGAAGAACGUUGGUGAGAGUGGAAAGCUCACCAAGUGACGGUAACUACCCAGAAAGGGACGGCUAACUACGUG